This 240-nucleotide unclassified non-coding RNA is filed under the name soil metagenome. Its description in RNAcentral is "partial contains 5.8S ribosomal RNA, internal transcribed spacer 2, and large subunit ribosomal RNA". The record is from RNAcentral.
AACGCACGAGACCUGCGGACCUGCGGAGGGAUCAUUAUAGAGUGGUAAACCCCCCGUAAAAGGGGGGGACCUCCUGUCCUUUGUAGGCUCUUUUUUAAAAGGGCUUUUUUUAAUUUUCUGCUUCGGUGGGGUUAUCCCACCGGAACAACCUCAAAACUCUUAUCAAAAAAUCGUUCUGUCUGAGAACCUUUUAUAAUAAAAAAAAACUUUCAACAAUGGAUCUCUAGAUCGGAAGAGCAC